Molecule: non-coding RNA, 104 nt
Filed under: Variovorax sp.
Lineage: Bacteria; Pseudomonadati; Pseudomonadota; Betaproteobacteria; Burkholderiales; Comamonadaceae
Description: Glycine sequence
Rfam family: Glycine riboswitch aptamer
About the family: This family represents the bacterial glycine riboswitch. Glycine riboswitches usually consist of two metabolite-binding aptamers domains with similar structures in tandem.
Source: RNAcentral
GCCGCACUUGCAGGAGAGCGGGCCGCGAAAGCGGCUCCACCGAAGGCGCAAACUCCCAUAAACGCUCAGGUCGGCUCGCCACGAGCCUGUACUGCAAUCAACUG